This 253-nucleotide ribosomal RNA is filed under the name uncultured bacterium. RNAcentral's name for it is "partial 16S ribosomal RNA". It matches the Rfam family "Bacterial small subunit ribosomal RNA", at positions 524 to 776 of the family's 1533-position model. The record is from RNAcentral.
UACAGAGGUCUCAAGCGUUGUUCGGAUUCAUUGGGCGUAAAGGGCGCGUAGGCGGCGGGGUAAGUCGGGUGUGAAAUCUCAGAGCUCAACUCUGAAACUGCACUCGAUACUGCUCUGCUUGAGGACUGGAGAGGAGACUGGAAUUCACGGUGUAGCAGUGAAAUGCGUAGAUAUCGUGAGGAAGACCAGUGGCGGAGGCGGGUCUCUGGACAGUUCCUGACGCUGAGGCGCGAAGGCCAGGGGAGCAAACGGG